Molecule: ribosomal RNA, 433 nt
Filed under: uncultured bacterium
Lineage: Bacteria
Description: partial 16S ribosomal RNA
Rfam family: Bacterial small subunit ribosomal RNA
Source: RNAcentral
AACGAACGCUGGCGGCAUGCCUAACACAUGCAAGUCGAACGAGACCUUCGGGUCUAGUGGCGCACGGGUGCGUAACGCGUGGGAAUCUGCCCUUGGGUUCGGAAUAACAGUGAGAAAUUACUGCUAAUACCGGAUGAUGUCUUCGGACCAAAGAUUUAUCGCCCAGGGAUGAGCCCGCGUAGGAUUAGUUAGUUGGUGGGGUAAUGGCCUACCAAGGCGACGAUCCUUAGCUGGUCUGAGAGGAUGAUCAGCCACACUGGGACUGAGACACGGCCCAGACUCCUACGGGAGGCAGCAGUGGGGAAUAUUGGACAAUGGGCGCAAGCCUGAUCCAGCAAUGCCGCGUGAGUGAUGAAGGCCUUAGGGUUGUAAAGCUCUUUUACCCGGGAUGAUAAUGACAGUACCGGGAGAAUAAGCUCCGGCUAACUCCGUG